This is a long non-coding RNA of Hydra vulgaris (swiftwater hydra), 519 nucleotides long. RefSeq lists it as uncharacterized. The record is from RefSeq and is a predicted model, not a curated record. NCBI's taxonomy places the organism in Eukaryota, Metazoa, Cnidaria, Hydrozoa, Anthoathecata, Hydridae.
UUGGCUACACAAAUUGUGGACUUCAAGGCUACGCUUGUGCGCUUUAAAGCCACACUUGUAAUUAUGAAAUUAAACUUCAUUAUAUGCGUAAAAAAAGCCACACUUUGUGUUGCACUUUCUUGGAUUCUCGUAUCGAAUUAUUUGGAAAAGAGGCUAGAAUCAUGAUUUUAGCGACAUGUUUUUUUUUAUGAACCGUUCAGUUUUACUGAAAAUUUUAGUGUAACUUUUAUUGCUGCAUGGUAAUUUUAAACACAUACAUAGUUAACUUUUUCAUAAAGAAAUAUUUGGUUUGUAAUAUUUUAGUAAUAUCGUAUUAAAUAUGUUAAGCGAGGAAAAUAUCGAUUUUCAGUUGUUAAAAAUUAGAAGAUACAACUUUGCUUGCAUUUAAGGCGCUCCCUUUUCUUAUGAUAGCACCUCCACAGAAGGGCAAGAAAAGUCCAAGAAUGGAUUUUGAUGCAAUUUUGGCUUUAUUUUAUAGAGAAAUGGAUGUACACCUCAGUCUUGAAAGAAAAAAGCUCC